AAAGUGCGAUAAGCAAUGCGAAUUGCAGAAUUCCGCGAAUCAUCAGAUUCUUGAACGCAAAUGGCGCUGGAGGGAUCUCCUUCCAGCAUGUCUGUUUCAGUGUCUGAAAACAUCCAAACACAGGUAUAUUUUGAAUAUACCUAACUUAAUGUGUCUGACGCAAGAACUCAUCUUCUUGUGUCUUACAUUAAUGCAUGUAUGUGCGGAUCUUUGGGUCCAUCGAAUUGUUAACUGAGAGAUAUUUCAGUGAUUUCGAUGCGAUAAUAAUACUCAAUUAUCCAUAUGCGCAUAGAAACACACUUAAAUAUUACUACAUCAAAUUUGCAUCUGAAACCAGGCAAGAACACCCGCUGAACUUAA
RNAcentral lists this unclassified non-coding RNA (360 nucleotides) under uncultured fungus. RNAcentral's name for it is "sequence contains ITS1". The stretch from base 1 to 105 matches the Rfam family "5.8S ribosomal RNA", at positions 50 to 154 of the family's 154-position model. The record is from RNAcentral. Lineage: Eukaryota; Fungi.